Non-coding RNA from Picea glauca (white spruce), 124 nucleotides. The record is from Rfam. Lineage: Eukaryota; Viridiplantae; Streptophyta; Pinopsida; Pinales; Pinaceae.
UCUUAUGUACAUGCCUAGAACAUUAAUGCACCAGAUCUCAUUAGAACUCCGCAGUUAAGCACAUUUGGGCUAGAGUAGUACUAGGAUGGGUGACCUCCUAGGAAGUUUUAGUGUUUUACAUGCC